Molecule: ribosomal RNA, 349 nt
Filed under: Ochrobactrum sp.
Lineage: Bacteria; Pseudomonadati; Pseudomonadota; Alphaproteobacteria; Hyphomicrobiales; Brucellaceae
Description: bacterial SSU rRNA
Rfam family: Bacterial small subunit ribosomal RNA
Source: RNAcentral
GCGCCCCGCAAGGGGAGCGGCAGACGGGUGAGUAACGCGUGGGAACGUACCUUUUGCUACGGAAUAACUCAGGGAAACUUGUGCUAAUACCGUAUGUGCCCUUCGGGGGAAAGAUUUAUCGGCAAAGGAUCGGCCCGCGUUGGAUUAGCUAGUUGGUGAGGUAAAGGCUCACCAAGGCGACGAUCCAUAGCUGGUCUGAGAGGAUGAUCAGCCACACUGGGACUGAGACACGGCCCAGACUCCUACGGGAGGCAGCAGUGGGGAAUAUUGGACAAUGGGCGCAAGCCUGAUCCAGCCAUGCCGCGUGAGUGAUGAAGGCCCUAGGGUUGUAAAGCUCUUUCACCGGUGA